Pogona vitticeps (central bearded dragon) is the source of this 659-nucleotide non-coding RNA. The record is from RefSeq and is a predicted model, not a curated record. Lineage: Eukaryota; Metazoa; Chordata; Lepidosauria; Squamata; Agamidae.
CAGCUAGAACUGGCCAUCAUCUGCAUAUUGCCAGGCUGCCACAAGACCAUUGAGAAGGACGAAAUCUCCAUUGAAAGUCCAGACUGAGACCCACCCUAACAUCCACCUAUAUAAAGAUGACUUUCUAAGGCCAGGCCCUGCUGUUAAACAGUAUCAAGCAAUGGCCUUAAGCAGCAGACAAGGUGACAAGAGAGACUACAGCAUGUUGUGUGGCCUUCUGCUCCACCCCAAGCUCCCCUGUGCCCUUCAGGUGUGGUGGCCUUCAGCUCACUCCAUCUAGCAUUGAAGGACAUGUCAACCACCAGUCCAAAUAAUUGUUCUGCAUUUUGAAAACAGCCCCAGGUGGGGAGAGGGCUUUGCUUUUCUAGCUCUUAAAAGCCACUUGCCACGUCCACGUUGACACGGGGGGACCUCAAUUAAAAAGUUGUGGCAGCUGGUCGUCCGGGCCCAUCAAAGCUUUUCGACGUGUUCUUGACCCGGCUUUCAAAGUGCCUGACGGAGCAACGGUGGCGCUUCCCGAGAUCUUGCUGAACGAGCCGAUUUGAUCCAUUAACGCCAACGUCUUACAAAUACCAUCGAGCAGCACAGGAGAGACAAGAAUUAAUGUGCCCAAGAAAAGCUAAGCACCUGCCGGAGCCCCUUGUCCUUCCCAGAUAACA